UGCUCUUAUCGACUAAUCGGUUAGGUCACCAGACUUUCACUCUGGAAAUAUGGGUUCGAGUCCCUUUAAGAGUACCAG
Molecule: transfer RNA, 78 nt
Filed under: Hafnia phage vB_HpaM_Zyzzx
Lineage: Duplodnaviria; Heunggongvirae; Uroviricota; Caudoviricetes; Andersonviridae
Description: tRNA-Glu
Rfam family: tRNA
About the family: Transfer RNA (tRNA) molecules are approximately 80 nucleotides in length. Their secondary structure includes four short double-helical elements and three loops (D, anti-codon, and T loops).
Source: RNAcentral